Molecule: ribosomal RNA, 440 nt
Filed under: uncultured bacterium
Lineage: Bacteria
Description: partial 16S ribosomal RNA
Rfam family: Bacterial small subunit ribosomal RNA
Source: RNAcentral
CCUACGGGUGGCAGCAGUAGGGAAUAUUGCUCAAUGGGGGAAACCCUGAAGCAGCAAAGCCGCGUGAAGGAUGAAGGUUUUAGGAUUGUAAACUCCUUUUGUUAGAGAAGAUUAUGACGGUAUCUAACGAAUAAGCACCGGCUAACUCCGUGCCAGCAGCCGCGGUAAAUCGGAGGGUGCAAGCGUUACUCCGAAUCACUGGGCGUAAAGCGGGCGUAGGCGGGGUAAUAAGUCAGAUGUGAAAUCCUGUAGGUUAACUACAGAACUGCAUUUGAAACUGGUACUCUGGAGUGUGGGAGAGGUAGGUGGAAUGCUUGGUGUAGGGGUAAAAUCCGUAGAGAUCAAGAGGAAUACUCAUUGCGAAGGCGACCUGCUGGAACAUUACUGACGCUGAUGCACGAAAGCGUGGGGAGCGAACAGGAUUAGAUACCCCUGUAGUC